RNAcentral lists this ribosomal RNA (490 nucleotides) under uncultured bacterium. RNAcentral's name for it is "partial 16S ribosomal RNA". It matches the Rfam family "Bacterial small subunit ribosomal RNA", at positions 30 to 507 of the family's 1533-position model. The record is from RNAcentral.
AUUGAACGCUGGCGGCAUGCCUUACACAUGCAAGUCGAACGGCAGCAUGAUCUAGCUUGCUAGAUUGAUGGCGAGUGGCGAACGGGUGAGUAAUACAUCGGAACGUGCCCUGUAGUGGGGGAUAACUAGUCGAAAGAUUAGCUAAUACCGCAUACGACCUGAGGGUGAAAGUGGGGGACCGCAAGGCCUCAUGCUAUAGGAGCGGCCGAUGUCUGAUUAGCUAGUUGGUGAGGUAAAGGCUCACCAAGGCGACGAUCAGUAGCUGGUCUGAGAGGACGAUCAGCCACACUGGGACCGAGACACGGCCCAGACUCCUACGGGAGGCAGCAGUGGGGAAUUUUGGACAAUGGGCGAAAGCCUGAUCCAGCAAUGCCGCGUGUGUGAAGAAGGCCUUCGGGUUGUAAAGCACUUUUGUCCGGAAAGAAAUGGCUCUGGUUAAUACCUGGGGUCGAUGACGGUACCGGAAGAAUAAGGACCGGCUAACUACGUG